RNAcentral lists this ribosomal RNA (497 nucleotides) under uncultured bacterium. RNAcentral describes it as "partial 16S ribosomal RNA". It matches the Rfam family "Bacterial small subunit ribosomal RNA", at positions 28 to 507 of the family's 1533-position model. The record is from RNAcentral.
GAUGAACGCUGGCGGCGUGCCUAAUACAUGCAAGUCGAGCGAACGGACGAGAAGCUUGCUUCUCUGAUGUUAGCGGCGGACGGGUGAGUAACACGUGGAUAACCUACCUAUAAGACUGGGAUAACUUCGGGAAACCGUAGCUUAUACCGGAUAAUAUUUUGAACCGCAUGGUUCAAAAGUGAAAGACGGUCUUGCUGUCACUUAUCGAUGGAUCCGCGCUGCAUUAGCUAGUUGGUAAGGUAACGGCUUACCAAGGCAACGAUGCAUAGCCGACCUGAGAGGGUGAUCGGCCACACUGGAACUGAGACACGGUCCAGACUCCUACGGGAGGCAGCAGUAGGGAAUCUUCCGCAAUGGGCGAAAGCCUGACGGAGCAACGCCGCGUGAGUGAUGAAGGUCUUCGGAUCGUAAAACUCUGUUAUUAGGGAAGAACAUAUGUGUAAGUAACUGUGCACAUCUUGACGGUACCUAAUCAGAAAGCCGCGGCUAACUACGUG